Etheostoma spectabile (orangethroat darter) is the source of this 91-nucleotide long non-coding RNA. RefSeq lists it as uncharacterized. The transcript has 3 exons. Lineage: Eukaryota; Metazoa; Chordata; Actinopteri; Perciformes; Percidae. The record is from RefSeq and is a predicted model, not a curated record.
CUGGAGCAACUGGGGGUUACGUGUCUUGCUCAGGGACACAUUGGCUAGUGUAUUGCAGUGAGAAUCGAACCUAGAAAAAUUCCUACUUUAC